This 482-nucleotide ribosomal RNA is filed under the name uncultured bacterium. RNAcentral's name for it is "partial 16S ribosomal RNA". It matches the Rfam family "Bacterial small subunit ribosomal RNA", at positions 355 to 847 of the family's 1533-position model. The record is from RNAcentral.
UGGGGAAUAUUGCACAAUGGGCGCAAGCCUGAUGCAGCAACGCCGCGUGAGGGAUGACGGCCUUCGGGUUGUAAACCUCUUUUAGCAGGGAAGAAGCGAAAGUGACGGUACCUGCAGAAAAAGCACCGGCUAACUACGUGCCAGCAGCCGCGGUAAUACGUAGGGUGCAAGCGUUGUCCGGAAUUAUUGGGCGUAAAGAGCUCGUAGGCGGUCUGUCGCGUCUGCUGUGAAAUCCCGAGGCUCAACCUCGGGCCUGCAGUGGGUACGGGCAGACUAGAGUGCGGUAGGGGAGAAUGGAACUCCUGGUGUAGCGGUGGAAUGCGCAGAUAUCAGGAAGAACACCGAUGGCGAAGGCAGUUCUCUGGGCCGUAACUGACGCUGAGGAGCGAAAGCGUGGGGAGCGAACAGGAUUAGAUACCCUGGUAGUCCACGCCGUAAACGUUGGGCGCUAGAUGUGGGGACCAUUCCACGGUUUCCGUGUC